GACUUCUGGUUUAAUGCACCUGGCCCGCGGCCCACAAGGCUGAGUGCCGGCGCGCGUUUACCAUCCUUCCAGCAACGGCUACCCUUAACUGGGCGGCUGGAACUGGAUCUUUUACUUUGAAAAAAUUAGAGUGUUUAAAGCAGGCGUUUGCUCUGAAUACAUUAGCAUGGAGUUGGUUUCUAUAACUGAAGUAAUGAUUGAUAGGGAUAGUUGGGGGUGCUAGUAUUGGCCGGUCAGAGGUGAAAUUCUUGGAUUCGGUCAAGACUAACUUAUGCGAAAGCAUU
RNAcentral lists this ribosomal RNA (284 nucleotides) under uncultured Cercozoa. Its description in RNAcentral is "partial 18S ribosomal RNA". The stretch from base 99 to 284 matches the Rfam family "Eukaryotic small subunit ribosomal RNA", at positions 739 to 955 of the family's 1831-position model. The record is from RNAcentral. Lineage: Eukaryota; Cercozoa.